UGGGGAAUAUUGGACAAUGGGGGCAACCCUGAUCCAGCAAUGCCGCGUGUGUGAAGAAGGUCUUCGGAUUGUAAAGCACUUUCGACGGGGACGAUGAUGACGGUACCCGUAGAAGAAGCCCCGGCUAACUUCGUGCCAGCAGCCGCGGUAAUACGAAGGGGGCUAGCGUUGCUCGGAAUGACUGGGCGUAAAGGGCGUGUAGGCGGUUUACACAGUCAGAUGUGAAAUCCCCGGGCUUAACCUGGGAGCUGCAUUUGAUACGUGUAGACUAGAGUGUGAGAGAGGGUUGUGGAAUUCCCAGUGUAGAGGUGAAAUUCGUAGAUAUUGGGAAGAACACCGGUGGCGAAGGCGGCAACCUGGCUCAUGACUGACGCUGAGGCGCGAAAGCGUGGGGAGCAAACAGGAUUAGAUACCCUGGUAGUCCACGCUGUAAACGAUGUGUGCUAGAUGUUGGGUAACUUUGUUAUUCAGUGUCGCAGUUAACGCGUUAAGCACACCACCU
This 502-nucleotide ribosomal RNA is filed under the name uncultured bacterium. RNAcentral describes it as "partial 16S ribosomal RNA". It matches the Rfam family "Bacterial small subunit ribosomal RNA", at positions 355 to 874 of the family's 1533-position model. The record is from RNAcentral.